RNAcentral lists this ribosomal RNA (254 nucleotides) under uncultured prokaryote. RNAcentral's name for it is "partial 16S ribosomal RNA". It matches the Rfam family "Bacterial small subunit ribosomal RNA", at positions 524 to 777 of the family's 1533-position model. The record is from RNAcentral.
UACGGAGGAUGCAAGCGUUAUCCGGAUUUAUUGGGUUUAAAGGGUGCGCAGGUUGUUUGAUAAGUCAGUGGUGAAAGUCUGUCGCUUAACGGUAGGAUUGCCAUUGAUACUGUUAGACUUGAAUAUGGGUGAGGUAGGCGGAAUGUGUAGUGUAGCGGUGAAAUGCAUAGAUAUUACACAGAACACCGAUUGCGAAGGCAGCUUACUAAUCCAUCAUUGACGAUGAGGCACGAAAGCGUGGGGAUCAAACAGGA